GGUUAAGUUAAUAAGGGCGCACGGUGGAUGCCUUGGCACUAAGAGCCGAUGAAGGACGGGACUAACUCCGAUAUGCUUUGGGGAGCUGUAAGUAAGCUUUGAUCCAAAGAUUUCCGAAUGGGGAAACCC
This 129-nucleotide ribosomal RNA is filed under the name Carnobacterium gallinarum. RNAcentral describes it as "partial 23S ribosomal RNA". It matches the Rfam family "Bacterial large subunit ribosomal RNA", at positions 1 to 129 of the family's 2925-position model. Lineage: Bacteria; Bacillati; Bacillota; Bacilli; Lactobacillales; Carnobacteriaceae. The record is from RNAcentral.